UGGGGAAUAUUGGACAAUGGGGGAAACCCUGAUCCAGCAAUGCCGCGUGUGUGAAGAAGGCCUGCGGGUUGUAAAGCACUUUCAGUGAAGAAGAAGGCUGAUGUAUGAAUAGUGCAUUAGAUUGACGUUAUUCACAGAAGAAGCACCGGCUAACUCUGUGCCAGCAGCCGCGGUAAUACAGAGGGUGCAAGCGUUAAUCGGAAUUACUGGGCGUAAAGGGUGCGUAGGUUGUUAUAUAAGUUAGAUGUGAAAUCCACGGGCUCAACCUGUGGACUGCGUUUAAUACUGUAUAGCUAGAGUAUUGUAGAGGUAAGUGGAAUUUCCGGUGUAGCGGUGAAAUGCGUAGAUAUCGGAAGGAACACCAGUGGCGAAGGCGGCUUACUGGACAAAUACUGACACU
This 400-nucleotide ribosomal RNA is filed under the name uncultured bacterium. RNAcentral's name for it is "bacterial SSU rRNA". It matches the Rfam family "Bacterial small subunit ribosomal RNA", at positions 355 to 747 of the family's 1533-position model. The record is from RNAcentral.